Molecule: long non-coding RNA, 1825 nt
Organism: Apodemus sylvaticus (European woodmouse)
Lineage: Eukaryota; Metazoa; Chordata; Mammalia; Rodentia; Muridae
Exons: 3
Source: RefSeq, a predicted model, not a curated record
UAAGGCUGGGAAGGAGAACGUCCUCAUCCGUCCCCAGCCAGCCUCAGCCUGCUCCUGUCUCCCGAGCCCGGCGGCUCUUCCCCAGGCUCUGAGGCCAAGUGGAGCAGAGCAUCACAGCCUUCGUUUCCUUGUUCAGAAGGUCGUGGCCGGCCGCGGUGACGUCCACCUUGCCCAGCCCUUCCUACUAAAGGCGGAGGCGCUGUCAGGCUGGAGAGCUGUUAGGACAUUUCCUGUGUGUCCCGGUCCUGGCCGCGGCUCUGUGUAGCCGGGGUGGAUUUCGACAUUGUUCUCCUGAUGGAAGUCAAGCUUUCUGGUUCACAGCGAGAAGAAACGGAAGAAAGAUUUUUUUCCCCAACUGAAAAGUCUUAUUAAACUAAUCUUAGUAUAAAUAAGGGAAAACGAGAUGAUUCAAGGAACCUUCUUCCAGAAUAGCAAAAAUGUCUUUUAGUUACAAACUGUUUUUUAAACCAGUUUUAAUGCAGUUCUGCAUCUGUUUUCUUAGGGUUUUCAAGUUCCAGAUACCCUAGAAUGUUGAUGAAAUGAAUCAGAGAUAUAACAACAACAACAACAACAACAACAAUAACAACAAAGUGAAACCAAAAGAAAGCAUAGAGAAUCCUUGCUAAGUAGCAAGAGAGAUUUAGUGCUAAAUAAUCUCCUCAAGUUAAAAAGUCAGACGGCAACUUUAGGAAACCUAGUUUGCGGAACACCCCUAUUUUAAAUUAUCGAAAAUAUUAUGAGGUCUUUACUUGCAAAUUGGAGUUCUUCAACUCUGAGUAUUUGAGUUAACAAUAUGGGAGUUUUCAGAACUGUGCGGGAAAGGCACACCAAACUUUAUACCACUUUUUCAGGAAAAGAUGGGAUUUUCCCACUUAUGAAGGAUUUCUAAUUAUUAUACAAACUUGGUGAAAAAAUAACGGGAAUCAUUACAUAAAAUAGUAAGGUAAUUUUGCUCUCUCAUUCUGACAUUUCAUUCCAGGUUUUCCCCACACAUAUCCUUCUGUAAAUACAGGACACAUUAUCAACUCAACUUGAUUCUCCCCCGCCCCCAAAGAAACUGUCUUUUUUUUUUUUUUGCAGUUGUUUUAUAUAUAGUUUUGUAGAAUAUUGCCAAUCCAAAGUGUGAUUGUUGUCUGUCCAUUGCUAUGUCCAUGAGGAGUACAUAUAUACAUGCAUGCAUAUAUAAACAUACAUAUCUGUUCAUUUUUCGAUUAUAAAUAGCAUCCCCGUGUAAGCGAUGGGAGGACCUGGUGACACACCAUUUCUGGCUCGCCCUGAGUCCUUGGAGACACUGAGUCAGAGUAUUAAACUCCUCUGAAAACUGCUUUCAAAAUGGCUCCAGUGAUUAUUAAAAUCACCAGUACGCACUCAUUUCAGUUUCAUGAUGUCCUCAGUAAGAUUAGAUAUCGCAUUGAUGCCUGAAUAGUUUUAGUUUGCUUACAUUUUAUAAUUGCAUUGUUUGGUAAUUAGGAUGGAUGCAUUCUCAUAUUUAUUUCCUAAUAUUCUUUGCUCUUUGUAAAUGUGUUGGUUCAGAUGAAGAAAAUACAGUUCAGGUGGUGGUCGGAUGAUAAUCACGAAAUGUGUCCUUGACUAGAAACUGAGCAAGCCUCCAGUGUUCUGAUAAACAGCCUCUACCGUGUCAUCCUAAACGCAGUUCUCCUCUGAAGUAGUAAUUUUGACUAAAUUGGCUUGUAGGGCAUUGAGUAUUGAUGUGAGAUGUCUUAGGUAUAAUAUUGUGGCAUUAUCUGUAGGAAUUAUGACUGUUGUUCUCAAAUCUUUGAACAGAUUUGAUGUAUUUGGCUCUCCAAAUUUUGCCAUGGUUAAU